GCGCUCAUAGCUCAGCUGGAUAGAGCACUUGGCUACGAACUAAGGGGUCGGGAGUUCGAAUCUCUCUGAGCGC
Molecule: transfer RNA, 73 nt
Filed under: Acinetobacter baumannii
Lineage: Bacteria; Pseudomonadati; Pseudomonadota; Gammaproteobacteria; Moraxellales; Moraxellaceae
Also listed under: 4 other names
Description: tRNA-Arg
Rfam family: tRNA
About the family: Transfer RNA (tRNA) molecules are approximately 80 nucleotides in length. Their secondary structure includes four short double-helical elements and three loops (D, anti-codon, and T loops).
Source: RNAcentral